This 226-nucleotide long non-coding RNA is filed under the name Panax ginseng (ginseng). RNAcentral describes it as "long non-coding RNA (PGIN_LNC011009)". Lineage: Eukaryota; Viridiplantae; Streptophyta; Magnoliopsida; Apiales; Araliaceae. The record is from RNAcentral.
UUUAUGAUUCUUGUCCAUGAGAUCAGCAGAAUCAAACAAGAAUAAGUACUUACAAGUCUUUAGCAAAAUAAUCGAAAAGAAUGGACUUGAGUCAGAGGAAUGAAAUUUAAGAGGUGUAGAACCACAGUCAUCCUUAGUAGUGUGCAUCAGAACUGAUCAUACCUAAUCACGAUAGUGGAAGAUAAACUUCAGCAGAGUGUCCCACAGAUGAUCAGAAAACUGGAAG